This is a long non-coding RNA of Uranotaenia lowii, 784 nucleotides long. RefSeq lists it as uncharacterized. The transcript has 3 exons. NCBI's taxonomy places the organism in Eukaryota, Metazoa, Arthropoda, Insecta, Diptera, Culicidae. The record is from RefSeq and is a predicted model, not a curated record.
CACACAAAACUUUCGAGGCUCCACUUAGCAAAAAUGAGCUGUUACUUUCCAUUAGCAAAAAUUUUUUUUUACUGUCGAGUUAGCACUUUCCCAAAUUGUCGUGACUUUUGCUCAAUUUGAGUAAAAUUAACUAAUUUACUACUAAUUUUAGCAUUUAUAGUAGCAUGGACUCAAACUUUUAGCCUGUGCCCAAACCGCGUUCUUUAAGUGCUCAAAUUUUAGAAAGGCGACACAGGCGGGAACCUGUUAGAUUAUUCUUGUUUUCAUUUUGCACCGCGCGCGGGUAAAACAUUUUUGUUCUGCUCCUCAGUUUUUCGUCGUUUGGUUAGAAUUUGGAUUAGGAUCAACAGCAUCUCGUGGGAGGGAAUGCUGCAGAAGUAGCCAUUCUUCCUCAAGCGGAACGGUUACCGGUUCGGUAACUAGUGGAAAAAUAGCGGAAUCCUAACGCUGCACAUACCGGUACGCGAUACCGAGAAAGGAGGAGAAAUGGUGAAGCGCAAAACCGAACCCGGAAGUAGCAGUAGUGGUUCCGCCGGGUUGUGUGUGUUGUUGACCUGUUUGGUGGUCAGUGUUUUUACUAUCAGAUUUCAGUGGUGAAGAUUUAAUAACCGCGAUGAUGGAAUACACUUUUGGAAACCCGCAGAGUGAUGCGAACGAUAAUAAAAAAGAAGAUUAAAAAAAAUCAAAUCUCACUUUUUAAUUUUUUGAAAAUGAAAACCCUUCAUUAAAAAUAAUUUAAUUUUGGAUUUCACUCAAAUUCGAGCAAACGUUAGAAAAAUAAAUU